RNAcentral lists this ribosomal RNA (388 nucleotides) under uncultured bacterium. RNAcentral's name for it is "bacterial SSU rRNA". It matches the Rfam family "Bacterial small subunit ribosomal RNA", at positions 28 to 417 of the family's 1533-position model. The record is from RNAcentral.
GACGAACGCUGGCGGCGUGCUUAACACAUGCAAGUCGAGCGGUAAGGCCCUUUCGGGGGUACACGAGCGGCGAACGGGUGAGUAACACGUGGGUGACCUGCCCUUAGCUCUGGGAUAAGCCUGGGAAACUGGGUCUAAUACCGGAUAUGACUCCAUGACGCAUGUUGUGGGGUGGAAAGCCUUGUGCGGCUAGGGAUGGGCCCGCGGCCUAUCAGCUUGUUGGUGGGGUGANGGCCUACCAAGGCGACGACGGGUAGCCGGCCUGAGAGGGCGACCGGCCACACUGGGACUGAGACACGGCCCAGACUCCUACGGGAGGCAGCAGUGGGGAAUCUUGCGCAAUGGGCGAAAGCCUGACGCAGCGACGCCGCGUGAGGGAUGACGGCCU